AUGCCCAGAUCUGCGGAAUAGCCUCUGGAAACGGAGAGUAAUACCGCAUACGCCCUUCGGGGAAAGAUUUAUCGGAUUUGGAUUAGCCCGCGUUGGAUUAGGUAGUUGGUGGGGUAAUGGCCUACCAAGCCGACGAUCCAUAGCUGGUUUGAGAGGAUGAUCAGCAACACUGGGACUGAGACACGGCCCAGACUCCUACGGGAGGCAGCAGUGGGGAAUCUUAGACAAUGGGGGAAACCCUGAUCUGGCCAUGCCGCGUGAGUGACGAAGGCCCUAGGGUCGUAAAGCUCUUUCAGCUGUGAAGAUAAUGACGGUAGCAGCAGAAGAAACCCCGGCUAACUCCGUGCCAGCAGCCGCGGUAAUACGGAGGGGGUUAGCGUUGUUCGGAAUUACUGGGCGUAAAGCGCGCGUAGGGGACUAUUAAGUCGAGGGUGAAAUCCCGGGGCUCAACCCCG
RNAcentral lists this ribosomal RNA (455 nucleotides) under uncultured bacterium. RNAcentral describes it as "bacterial SSU rRNA". It matches the Rfam family "Bacterial small subunit ribosomal RNA", at positions 126 to 617 of the family's 1533-position model. The record is from RNAcentral.